AUAUGGCUGACGAGUCUCAGAUAGGACGAAACGUGCGUUCUGGAU
Schistosoma haematobium is the source of this 45-nucleotide non-coding RNA. NCBI's taxonomy places the organism in Eukaryota, Metazoa, Platyhelminthes, Trematoda, Strigeidida, Schistosomatidae. The record is from Rfam.